UAGGGAAUUUUCGUCAAUGGGGGACCGGUAGCACGAACGCAAUGCCGCAGCUGUGUGAAGAAGGUCUUCGGAUCGUAAAGCACUGUUGUAAGUGAAGAAUGCCACAUAGAGGAAAUGCUAUGUGGGUGACGGUAGCUUACCAGAAAGCCACGGCUAACUACGUGCCAGCAGCCGCGGUAAUACGUAGGUGGCAAGCGUUAUCCGGAAUCAUUGGGCGUAAAGGGUGCGUAGGUGGCACGAUAAGUCUGAAGUAAAAGGCAACAGCUCAACUGUUGUAUGCUUUGGAAACUGUCGAGCUAGAGUGCAGAAGAGGGCGAUGGAAUUCCAUGUGUAGCGGUAAAAUGCGUAGAUAUAUGGAGGAACACCAGUGGCGAAGGCGGUCGCCUGGUCUGUAACUGACACUGAUGUACGAAAGCGUGGGGGAGCAAAUAGGAUUAGAUACC
Molecule: ribosomal RNA, 443 nt
Filed under: uncultured bacterium
Lineage: Bacteria
Description: bacterial SSU rRNA
Rfam family: Bacterial small subunit ribosomal RNA
Source: RNAcentral